Molecule: non-coding RNA, 3243 nt
Organism: Ictidomys tridecemlineatus (thirteen-lined ground squirrel)
Lineage: Eukaryota; Metazoa; Chordata; Mammalia; Rodentia; Sciuridae
Source: RefSeq, a predicted model, not a curated record
GCCGGGGCGGGGCGGAGGGCGCGGGCGCCGGCUGGCCCUCCCGCCGCGGUACCUGUACCUCGGCCCCCCCGGCCGCCUGGCGCAAGCGCAGGGGUCAGCAGCGGCGGCGGGGCCGGUGGGCCCUCGGAGGACAAUGGAAGCCCAUUGUUUUCUUCCCUCUGCCACCUCCCGAGAUGUGGCUUUCUCGGAGGAGAAGCCUCUUUCUGCUCCCCGGGCACAAAGAAAGAUCGCGGGACUCUGGGUUCCAAGAGGGUCCCGAGGUGAUGCGGUCCGUAGGGUGCUCGCAGACAAAAGGACUCCCCCCGCCCGCGGGACGCUCGCGCUAAACCUCGUGUUCCCACCUCCGCCGAUCCCACCAAGCCAACCUAGCCGUGCCAGGCUCCGGCGCGGCGGCGAGCAGCCGAGGCUGGGGGAAGGGGAGCGGUGCCACCUGACUGCGCCGCUCUAGCCGGCCACAGUUCCCGGGGCCUUUCGCUGCCGGGGCUCGUGGGAGAAGGGGAGGGUCGCGUUCUGUCAAUUUCCACUUUGCUCCCCUCGCAGCUGCAGCUAAAACCCGGAGAGCGGAUCUGGCUCCCUGGAGACGCCAGGGCUCCGGGCUGGAAGAGUGGGCGCGCGAAGAAACGCAGACGCUGCAGCGAUUCGUCCGCCUAGGGAAGGACUCAGAGGCAGGAAAGGGAGGCGUUUCCGGUUGUGAAGUCGCAGCCCUUAGGGUUGGCUUGGAGAGGUGGCUGGGACUCCCCGGAGACGACGCUUUGGGUCUGGACCUAGCCCGGAGACUCUCAGGUUGCAUGGAAAUCCUGGCACAAAGCUGAGACCCUCUGGGAGACUUUGGCUUUCCCAAGCAGUAUCAACUUCAGGUCAUCACCGCGAUGGCCCGGGCCUGUCUGAAACCUUAGAGGGUACACGUUAAGCCAACGUUGUAAACCACGGCCCACGAUAAGGUGAAGUUGAAAAGGAAGCGGACACAACUGCUGGAAAGCAAAAUACUUGGGUGGAGUGUUAAAAGCCUCAAAGAAAAUAAUAGUUGGCGGGUCAAAUGGCCAUGAGGCCUGAAGUCAAAUACAAAACUCUGCUGAAGUGAUGUUAGAAAUUUAACAAGCAAAACAGUCCCUGUAGAUAAGAGACCUGGCAUUGUUUCCUUUCUUCAAAUGACAAGGGCUCGAAGUUUCCUUUGGCAGUUACCUGUGUUCUAUUCCAGAUUCCUGAGUUUUACAUAGUGAUCCUAUUUCAAAAUAUAUGUUCCAUUUGGCACUGUUGUAUAUGUUUUACAUAUGAAUUUAUUGAAAAAUAUUAAAUGUUACAGGCCUACUUAGAUAAAGGUAUUUUUGUAAAUAUUUAUGUAUAGCUUUCGUUACAUAUGGUAUUUUUAAAAGUACAAAUAUGUAUGCGUAUAUGUAUAUACAUAUAUAUAAUUCUAAGUGAAAAAUUUCUUUAUACACACAAGCAUUCCUUACACAUAGGUCUUGUGUGAAUUUUUUUCAUUUGCUGUAUUGUUAGCUGCUGAUAAAAGCACUAUAUUUCCAUAGGGCUAGAUAAAUAACUUUUUUACAGUUUCUGCAAACAUGUAGAGUCCAGGUGUUGCAUUUUUUCCCCUGAAACCCUAUUUUCACUCUUCCACACCAUUCUAGAGAGUUUGUUUUGUUUUUAAUGAAACUUCACUUCUAGACUCUAAUUUACUCAGAACCUACCCCUUCAAGGGCCUGGUGGUACUGGUGGGUCUGGCUUCUUUGAUGGAUGCCUAAUUAUUUAUUUGUACUGAACAUCUUCUGUGAGAAAACAUGCCCUCAUAUAGUGAAUUGGUCUUACAAAUUAGUGGAUUUCCUGUACAGCUUAGAGGGCUUUUAGGUUUGAUGGAUUUAGAUUUCGUAUGUUAGGGGCUCUACUACUAGAUGAGAGGAAAGUUUUGCUUCAGGAAGAUUUUAGUGAUUCUAAGAUUUCUGCUCUGAAUUUUGGAAAAGGUUAGCCUUGAAAAAAAUUGGUGGUAACCUUAGAAACCUGAGACUAACACUUGUAGAACACCUGUCAGGCCCAAUAGUGGACUAUUUUACUAUUAGUCUAAUUCAGGAGAGGAGCCAAGGAGUAUUGGCAGUGUCCUUAAUAUCCAGAAAGCAAUCCACUUGCAGGGUGGAGAGCAACUAGUGGCUGUAUACAAGCAAGUACUGACUCGACUUUAGCCACUUGUUACCAAGUGUGGUGCAGAGACCAACCAUACCAAGUCCACCAGAUGCCUGCUCCAUUGGAAUCUUCAUUUUAAUGAGCUGUAAAUGGUUUGCAUGCCAUUUAAUGUUCAAGAAGCACUGACCAUGAGUAGGGGUCUCUACCUCUUAAUGCACAAACUCAUUUUAAAAGCUCACAGGAUUCAUGAACCCCCUUCUGGGAAAACCAACAAUUACACAGAAGCUUUCUCAAACAAUUUUAGCCUUCCCCUGAAGACCUAUCUAUUAAGGGCAAGGAAGUCCUACGUUAGAUCUCCAGUAACAAAACAAGGAGAGUCACUCAACUGUAGUCAGAGAAGUCAGGGGAGGAUUCUUAGAGGAAACAACUUUAAGUGAGCCUUGAGACAUGAGAACAAUUGGGUAGGGAGAGGAGUAGUGGAGGGUAUUUCAGGCAGGUGGAAUGCAUAGGUGAACGGCCUAGAAGAGAAAAGGGUACACCCACGUAUCCAUUUUUAUGCGGGUUAAUGUGAAAUUUAACAAGGAAAUUGUAAUUCCACAGCAGAUUCACCUUGCAAUUCAUUAUCAUCUCUUGAACUUUCAAAAAACGAAGCCAGACUGUAGUAGAGCAGUGGUCAUUUCAUUUUGGGGGAUGAGAAAGAACCCUGUGAUAUGGGGUUUUAUGUAAGACCUCAUUUCCCAUUACUUUCUCUUCUUGCUAACUCAGCCCUGACCACAUUGGCCUUCAAGUGGUUCCAUACUCAAUCUAUCUGCUGGGGCACUUCCCCAAAUCACCCAAACCUCUCUUCUCAGUCAUUAAGAUCUUUAUUCAAUGAGAUUGCAAAGGAAUGGCUUUCCCUUCCCUAUAGCAGCAGCCCUACCCACAUUCCCUUUCCCUGAAUAAAGCAGGAGGAAUAAUUUCUUCAUGACCUGACCGUGGCAUCAUAUUUAUUUAUAGACUCAGUUCUGUCCUGUGUUCCAUAAUGUGUGGACUUGAUGUGCUGUUAGAGCUUCUGUACCUAAAACAGGGCCUGAGCACAUAGUAGGUACUCAAAUAGUUAUUAAAUAAAUAAACCCUUAACUACCAUAA